AAGCAGAUAGCACUCGCAUAUGACAACAGCAAAUAACUAACGUUUACGUUAGCCUAACUUACUUAUCGUUGACGUUGACCCAACACGUUCAUAAGUUAGAC
Molecule: long non-coding RNA, 101 nt
Organism: Alosa sapidissima (American shad)
Lineage: Eukaryota; Metazoa; Chordata; Actinopteri; Clupeiformes; Clupeidae
Exons: 3
Source: RefSeq, a predicted model, not a curated record